UCAGAGCUUGCUCUGAUGAAAGUGGCGCACGGGUGAGUAACGCGUGGAUAACCUGCCCUGGUAUCUGGGAUAACAUCUCGAAAGGGGUGCUAAUACCGGAUAAGCCUACGGACUCCUCGGAGUCUGCAGGAAAAGGAGGCCUCUAUUUAUAAGCUUCCGUAUCAUGAUGGGUCCGCGUACCAUUAGCUAGUUGGUGGGGUAAUGGCCUACCAAGGCGACGAUGGUUAGCUGGUCUGAGAGGAUGAUCAGCCACACUGGAACUGAGACACGGUCCAGACUCCUACGGGAGGCAGCAGUGGGGAAUUUUGCGCAAUGGGGGAAACCCUGACGCAGCAACGCCGCGUGAGUGAUGAAGGCUUUCGGGUCGUAAAGCUCUGUCAGAGGGGAAGAAAUGGAAACGGUUAAUACCCGUUUUUCUUGACGGUACCCUCAAAGGAAGCACCGGCUAACUCCGUGCCAGCAGCCGCGGUAAUAC
Molecule: ribosomal RNA, 475 nt
Filed under: uncultured Geobacter sp.
Lineage: Bacteria; Pseudomonadati; Thermodesulfobacteriota; Desulfuromonadia; Geobacterales; Geobacteraceae
Description: bacterial SSU rRNA
Rfam family: Bacterial small subunit ribosomal RNA
Source: RNAcentral